Molecule: RNase P RNA, 308 nt
Filed under: Candidatus Adlerbacteria bacterium RIFOXYD1_FULL_48_8
Lineage: Bacteria; Candidatus Adleribacteriota
Description: RNase P RNA component class A
Rfam family: Bacterial RNase P class A
About the family: Ribonuclease P (RNase P) is a ubiquitous endoribonuclease, found in archaea, bacteria and eukarya as well as chloroplasts and mitochondria. Its best characterised activity is the generation of mature 5'-ends of tRNAs by cleaving the 5'-leader elements of precursor-tRNAs.
Source: RNAcentral
UCAGCGCGUUGGAAUGUAGCUCCUCAAUGAAAGUUGAGGGGAGGAAAGUCCGAACACCCACCCUCGAGCAAUCGUAGGGUUAACAAGGUAGCAGGUAAUCCCUGUCACUCGCUUUUUGCGGGCGAGAGAGGUGCGAACAGUGACGAACCGAUUUAGUUCGGGUGAAACGGCAAAAUCCUUACUUGGGUGCAAGGCCGUACUUCCCAACAUUAGUUGGGAUUGGGAGCCGCUCGAGCCUGUCCGCGAGGACAGGCCCAGAUAAAUUACAUUCUGCAAAACAGAAUUCGGCUUACAUACGCGCGCGCAGA